GGGGGCCCAAAGUCAGUUAAGCAGAAGGUACCAGCGGGCAGCACAUCGCCCCCGGGGACUGAGAACAUCUUGAAAUGACACCUUGGAGUUGUCUGACAAAAUUGACAUCUAGGAAAAGUCCCCGGACCCACAGAACCCUGAGCCUCUGCACACACUGAACCUGACUUCAGACAAGGUCCCUCCUUCUCUAAUGCUCCCGCUCCUGCUUCCAGGUCCUCCACUGAGGCUCCGAACACCAUGCCUAUCACUAAGAUCCCCAAGGCGAGCCAGCCCUUAUGGAUGGAAUGGGAUCGGAAGGCCCAGAAGAGUGGCCUGAGACACGAAGUCUAUGCAGUCAAUGGCGACUGCUAUGUUGGGGAGUGGCAAGACAAUAAGAAACACGGAAAAGGAAUCCAGAAAUGGAAAAAGAGUGGAGCUAUUUACCAUGGAGAUUGGAAGUAUGGGAAGAGAGAUGGUUAUGGGAUCCUCAGCCUUCCUGACUCUAAGAAAAGAUAUAGGAAGGUCUACUCUGGCUGGUGGUCCAACGACAAGAGAAGUGGUCAUGGCAUCUGGUACUAUGCGCCCAGCGAAUACUAUGAAGGAGAGUGGAAGGACGGCCUCCGAAGUGGAUGGGGCCGCAUGUUUUAUGCCAAUGGAGAUAUCUAUGAGGGCCAGUGGAACCUGGGCCUGAGAGAGGGCGAGGGCAUGCUCCGCCUAAAUAAUGGAAACCGCUAUGAAGGCUUUUGGCAGCAAGGGAUGAAGAAUGGGAAGGGCCGCUUCUUCUAUGUGGACCACGGACAACUCUUUGAGGGCUUCUGGGUAGAUGAUAUGGCCAAAUGUGGGACCAUGAUUGACUUUGGUCGAGAUGAAGCCCCCGAGCCCACCAAGUAUCCCAUUCCGCAGGUGGAACUGCAGAAUCCCGACAAGGUGCUGGAGGAAGCCGUAGCCAAGUUCAUGCAGGAGACGUACUGAAACCAUUUGCAGGAACGACAACCGAGGCUGAAUCAGUGGAAGCAAUUUGGGGGGCUGGUCAGGAGCCCCCCAUUCCCCAAGGCCGAGUCAUCAGGGCCCUUGGGAGGAGAGGCCAUUCAGGAUGAGGACUCUGCUCAGAGAGGGCAGCUUAACACUGGCCAAAGUCACAGAGCAAGUUAGCAGCCGAGGGCAGGACUAGAACUCGAGGCUCGUGGCCCCCCAUCUGGGGGCUCCGGUCACUGAUCUUCGAGAUGUACACUCCCCGUACCCUUUUUACCCAGUGUAAUAUGAAGAGUGUUUUUGGGAUUUUUUUUAUUACUCAAGUAAAAGUUUGGUCAUCACCAUUUCCCAAUACA
Antechinus flavipes (yellow-footed antechinus) is the source of this 1307-nucleotide RNA transcript. It is a transcript of the gene named MORN repeat containing 3, with no coding region annotated. The transcript is spliced from 6 exons. NCBI's taxonomy places the organism in Eukaryota, Metazoa, Chordata, Mammalia, Dasyuromorphia, Dasyuridae. The record is from RefSeq and is a predicted model, not a curated record.